This 486-nucleotide ribosomal RNA is filed under the name uncultured bacterium. RNAcentral's name for it is "bacterial SSU rRNA". It matches the Rfam family "Bacterial small subunit ribosomal RNA", at positions 31 to 507 of the family's 1533-position model. The record is from RNAcentral.
GAGAACGCUGGCGGGCGUGGAUUAGGCAUGCAAGUCGAACGGUAUCAUCCUUUCGGGGGUGAGAGAGUGGCGAACUGGUGAGUAACACGUAGGUUAUCUACCCUCAAGACGGGACAACCCAGGGAAACUUGGGCUAAUACCGGAUGUGAGCAACUUUUAGUUGUUUGAAAGGUGGCGUAAGCUGUCGCUUGGGGAUGAGCCUGCGUCCUAUUAGUUAGUUGGUGAGGUAACGGCUCACCUAGGCAAUGAUAGGUAGGCGGCCUUAACGGGUGGUCGCCCACACUGGGAUUGAGAUACGGCCCAGACUCCUACGGGAGGCAGCAGUCGAGAAUAGUCUACAAUGGUCGGAAGACUGAUAGUGCGACGCCGCGUGAACGAUGAAUCCCUUCGGGGUGUAAAGUUCUUUUAUAUGUGAGCAGUGCUUCUUAUAUUAACAGUAUGGGGAGAGAGAUAUUAGCAUAUGAAUAAGCAACGGCUAACUCCGUG